GNNNNCCUUCGGGGGGGGNGUGNAGUAGGGAAUCUUCCGCAAUGGGCGAAAGCCUGACGGAGCAAUGCCGCGUGAGUGAUGAAGGUUUUCGGAUCGUAAAGCUCUGUUGCCAGGGAAGAACGCUUGGGAGAGUAACUGCUCUCAAGGUGACGGUACCUGAGAAGAAAGCCCCGGCUAACUACGUGCCAGCAGCCGCGGUAAUACGUAGGGGGCAAGCGUUGUCCGGAAUUAUUGGGCGUAAAGCGCGCGCAGGCGGUCAUUUAAGUCUGGUGUUUAAUCCCGGGGCUCAACCCCGGAUCGCACUGGAAACUGGGUGACUUGAGUGCAGAAGAGGAGAGUGGAAUUCCACGUGUAGCGGUGAAAUGCGUAGAUAUGUGGAGGAACACCAGUGGCGAAGGCGACUCUCUGGGCUGUAACUGACGCUGAGGCGCGAAAGCGUGGGGAGCAAACAGGAUUAGA
This 459-nucleotide ribosomal RNA is filed under the name Paenibacillus pabuli. RNAcentral describes it as "bacterial SSU rRNA". It matches the Rfam family "Bacterial small subunit ribosomal RNA", at positions 330 to 782 of the family's 1533-position model. The record is from RNAcentral. Lineage: Bacteria; Bacillati; Bacillota; Bacilli; Caryophanales; Paenibacillaceae.